This 497-nucleotide ribosomal RNA is filed under the name uncultured bacterium. RNAcentral's name for it is "partial 16S ribosomal RNA". It matches the Rfam family "Bacterial small subunit ribosomal RNA", at positions 28 to 507 of the family's 1533-position model. The record is from RNAcentral.
GAUGAACGCUGGCGGCGUGCCUAAUACAUGCAAGUCGAGCGAACAGACGAGGAGCUUGCUCCUCUGACGUUAGCGGCGGACGGGGGAGUAACACGUGGAUAACCUACCUAUAAGACUGGGAUAACUUCGGGAAACCGGAGCUAAUACCGGAUAAUAUAUUGAACCGCAUGGUUCAAUAGUGAAAGACGGUUUUGCUGUCACUUAUAGAUGGAUCCGCGCCGCAUUAGCUAGUUGGUAAGGUAACGGCUUACCAAGGCAACGAUGCGUAGCCGACCUGAGAGGGUGAUCGGCCACACUGGAACUGAGACACGGUCCAGACUCCUACGGGAGGCAGCAGUAGGGAAUCUUCCGCAAUGGGCGAAAGCCUGACGGAGCAACGCCGCGUGAGUGAUGAAGGUCUUCGGAUCUUAAAACUCUGUUAUUAGGGAAGAACAAAUGUGUAAGUAACUAUGCACGUCUUGACGGUACCUAAUCAGAAAGCCACGGCUAACUACGUG